RNAcentral lists this ribosomal RNA (488 nucleotides) under uncultured bacterium. RNAcentral describes it as "bacterial SSU rRNA". It matches the Rfam family "Bacterial small subunit ribosomal RNA", at positions 29 to 514 of the family's 1533-position model. The record is from RNAcentral.
AUUGAACGCUGGCGGAAUGCUUUACACAUGCAAGUCGAGCGGCAGCGCGGGGCAACCUGGCGGCGAGCGGCGAACGGGUGAGUAACAUAUCGGAACGUACCCAGUCGUGGGGGAUAACUAUCCGAAAGGAUAGCUAAUACCGCAUACGACCUGAGGGUGAAAGCGGGGGACCGAAAGGCCUCGCGCGAUUGGAGCGGCCGAUAUCGGAUUAGCUAGUUGGUGAGGUAAAGGCUCACCAAGGCGACGAUCCGUAGCUGGUCUGAGAGGACGACCAGCCACACUGGAACUGAGACACGGUCCAGACUCCUACGGGAGGCAGCAGUAGGGAAUAUUGGACAAUGGGGGCAACCCUGAUCCAGCCAUGCCGCGUGAGUGAAGAAGGCCCUCGGGUUGUAAAGCUCUUUUGUCCGGAAAGAAAGCAUCUGGUUAAUACCCGGGUGUUCUGACGGUACCGGAAGAAUAAGCACCGGCUAACUACGUGCCAGCAG